GAGGGUAUAGCUCAGUGGUAGAGUGCGUGCUUAGCAUGCACAAGGUGCUGGGUUCAAUCCCCAGUAUCGCCA
RNAcentral lists this transfer RNA (72 nucleotides) under Camelus bactrianus (Bactrian camel). It matches the Rfam family "tRNA". Rfam says of the family: Transfer RNA (tRNA) molecules are approximately 80 nucleotides in length. Their secondary structure includes four short double-helical elements and three loops (D, anti-codon, and T loops). Further hydrogen bonds mediate the characteristic L-shaped molecular structure. tRNAs have two regions of fundamental functional importance: the anti-codon, which is responsible for specific mRNA codon recognition, and the 3' end, to which the tRNAs corresponding amino acid is attached (by aminoacyl-tRNA synthetases). tRNAs cope with the degeneracy of the genetic code in two manners: having more than one tRNA (with a specific anti-codon) for a particular amino acid; and 'wobble' base-pairing, i.e. permitting non-standard base-pairing at the 3rd anti-codon position. The record is from Rfam by way of RNAcentral. RNAcentral also lists the same sequence under 1 other name. Lineage: Eukaryota; Metazoa; Chordata; Mammalia; Artiodactyla; Camelidae.